ACACCAAUGGUAGUGUGGGGCAUCCCCAUGUGAGAGUAGGUCACUGCUAAUUCUCAUUCCGGAGUGGUAGUUCAGCUGGUUAGAAUACCUGCCUGUCACGCAGGGGGUCGCGGGU
RNAcentral lists this ribosomal RNA (115 nucleotides) under Aggregatibacter actinomycetemcomitans NUM4039. Lineage: Bacteria; Pseudomonadati; Pseudomonadota; Gammaproteobacteria; Pasteurellales; Pasteurellaceae. The record is from RNAcentral.